This is a transfer RNA of 83 nucleotides. It matches the Rfam family "tRNA". Rfam says of the family: Transfer RNA (tRNA) molecules are approximately 80 nucleotides in length. Their secondary structure includes four short double-helical elements and three loops (D, anti-codon, and T loops). The record is from Rfam.
GGCCUAAUGGCCCAAUGGCAAGGCGCUUGACUACGAUUCAGUUCGAUAUCAAGAGAUUCCAGGUUCGACCCCUGGUUAGGUCA